CCUACGGGAGGCAGCAGUGGGGAAUAUUGCACAAUGGGGGAAACCCUGAUGCAGCGACGCCGCGUGAAGGAAGAAGGUCUUCGGAUCGUAAACUUCUAUCAGCAGGGAAGAAGGAAGUGACGGUACCUGACUAAGAAGCCCCGGCUAACUACGUGCCAGCAGCCGCGGUAAUACGUAGGGGGCAAGCGUUAUCCGGAAUCACUGGGUGUAAAGGGUGCGUAGGCGGUAGGGCAAGUCAGAUGUGAAAGCCCGGAGCUCAACUCCGGGAUUGCAUUUGAAACUGUCUUACUAGAGUGCAGGAGAGGAAGGCGGAAUUCGUGGGGUAGCGGUGAAAUGCGUAGAUAUUAGGAAGAACCCCAGGGGGGAGGGGGGUUUUCUGGACUGUAACUGACGCUGAGGCACGAAAGCGUGGGGAGCGAAAAGGAUUAGAUACCCGUGUAGUC
RNAcentral lists this ribosomal RNA (443 nucleotides) under uncultured bacterium. RNAcentral's name for it is "bacterial SSU rRNA". It matches the Rfam family "Bacterial small subunit ribosomal RNA", at positions 338 to 795 of the family's 1533-position model. The record is from RNAcentral.